AUCCUGGUGGCGAGUGGCGAACGGGUGAGUAAUAUAUCGGAACGUGCCCAGUCGUGGGGGAUAACGCAGCGAAAGCUGUGCUAAUACCGCAUACGAUCUACGGAUGAAAGCGGGGGAUCGCAAGACCUCGCGCGAUUGGAGCGGCCGAUAUCAGAUUAGCUAGUUGGUGGGGUAAAAGCCCACCAAGGCGACGAUCUGUAGCUGGUCUGAGAGGACGACCAGCCACACUGGAACUGAGACACGGUCCAGACUCCUACGGGAGGCAGCAGUGGGGAAUUUUGGACAAUGGGCGCAAGCCUGAUCCAGCAAUGCCGCGUGCAGGAUGAAGGCCUUCGGGUUGUAAACUGCUUUUGUACGGAACGAAACGGCGACCUCUAAUAAAGUUCGCUAAUGACGGUACCGUAAGAAUAAGCACCGGCUAACUACGUGCCAGCAGCCGCGGUAAUACGUAGGGUGCAAGCGUUAAUCGGAAUUACUGGGCGUAAAGCGUGCGCAGGCGGUGAUGUAAGACAGAUGUGAAAUCCCCGGGCUCAACCUGGGACCUGCAUUUGUGACUGCAUCGCUAGAGUACGGUAGAGGGGGAUGGAAUUCCGCGUGUAGCAGUGAAAUGCGUAGAUAUGCGGAGGAACACCGAUGGCGAAGGCAAUCCCCUGGACCUGUACUGACGCUCAUGCACGAAAGCGUGGGGAGCAAACA
This 696-nucleotide ribosomal RNA is filed under the name Rhodoferax sp. A8. Its description in RNAcentral is "bacterial SSU rRNA". It matches the Rfam family "Bacterial small subunit ribosomal RNA", at positions 82 to 774 of the family's 1533-position model. The record is from RNAcentral. Lineage: Bacteria; Pseudomonadati; Pseudomonadota; Betaproteobacteria; Burkholderiales; Comamonadaceae.